Molecule: ribosomal RNA, 500 nt
Filed under: uncultured bacterium
Lineage: Bacteria
Description: partial 16S ribosomal RNA
Rfam family: Bacterial small subunit ribosomal RNA
Source: RNAcentral
AUUGAACGCUGGCGGAAUGCUUUACACAUGCAAGUCGAACGGCAGCACGGGGGCAACCCUGGUGGCGAGUGGCGAACGGGUGAGUAAUACAUCGGAACGUGCCCAGUCGUGGGGGAUAACGUAGCGAAAGUUACGCUAAUACCGCAUACGAUCUACGGAUGAAAGCGGGGGACCGUACGGCCUCGCGCGAUUGGAGCGGCUGAUGUCAGAUUAGGUAGUUGGUGAGGUAAAGGCUCACCAAGCAGACGAUCUGUAGCUGGUCUGAGAGGACGACCAGCCACACUGGGACUGAGACACGGCCCAGACUCCUACGGGAGGCAGCAGUGGGGAAUUUUGGACAAUGGGCGCAAGCCUGAUCCAGCCAUUCCGCGUGCAGGACGAAGGCCUUCGGGUUGUAAACUGCUUUUGUACGGAACGAAAAGGCUCUGGUUAAUACCUGGGGCUCAUGACGGUACCGUAAGAAUAAGCACCGGCUAACUACGUGCCAGCCGCCGCCGUAA